GAUGAACGCUGGCGGCGCGCCUAACACAUGCAAGUCGAACGGUUAAAGCAUCUUUUCGGUGUGUUUAACGUGGCGAACGGCUGAGUAACCCGUGGGCAACCUGCCCUCCUCUUGGGGAAAGCCUCGGGAAACCGAGGAUAAUACCCGAUACUUCCAUGUGGCCGCAUGACGACAUUGAGAAAGCUUUUGCGGAGAAGGAUGGGCCCGCGGCCUGUUAGCUUGUUGGUGGGGUAGAGGCCUACCAAGGCAAUGAUGGGUAGCUGGGUUGAGAGACCGACCAGGCAGAUUGGGACUGAGACACGGCCCAGACUCCUACGGGGGGCAGCAGUGGGGAAUCUUGCACAAUGGGCGGAAGCCUGAUGCAGCGACGCCGCGGGCGGGACGAAGGCCUUCGGGUUGUAAACCGCUUUCAGCAGGGACGAGGCGAUAAGUGACGGUACCUGCAGAAGAAGCCCCGGCUAACUACGUG
RNAcentral lists this ribosomal RNA (469 nucleotides) under uncultured bacterium. Its description in RNAcentral is "partial 16S ribosomal RNA". It matches the Rfam family "Bacterial small subunit ribosomal RNA", at positions 28 to 507 of the family's 1533-position model. The record is from RNAcentral.